CUCCAUCCACAGGUAGGACUGAUAUGUUUUGGCACAAGAGCCACGAGUCCCCUUCUAGUUGGCUGCAACCUGGUCUCAGGCACUGGUGGCUUUUCUGUCUGCACUUUAUUUUGGGGCCUUUGUUCCAUCCUGCUCCGAGCCUAGAACUUUAGCUGAAAUCAGACUCUUCUGUUUUUUCUCACUUUCCUGGUUCUUUUUGCUGUUUCUUUUCUGCCGAUGAGAGGAAUGCUGUCCUGCUUAGCCUGUGUCUGAAGGAAUUUUACUGGGAGAGGAGGGGAAAUAGCACCCCGGAGAAUCCCUCAUGCCACCACCCAGCCUUCUAUUGUGGACCUGCCCCCAGGACCUCGUGCACAGUUUCCACCCGAGUGGCGGUGCUGCUCCAUGCAGAGAAGAGGAUUAGAAGUGGGAAUCAGAAAGCCAAGCUGGGUUUUUCCUCCUAACACAUCACCAAGUUUUUUAGAUCCUGAGGGCAAAAUCAUGCAUUCAGUGGAAGAGAUAAAAAUCACCCAGCCUAUGCCUUCGGCUGCUCUCCAGCUGCAAAGGAUUGAGAGGGCAGAUGAAGGGGGAUGUUGUCUGUUUUCAGCAGCGCUGCAGGUCUCACUUGAGUGAGAUUGGGCCUUUUCCUGCCAUCUGGAAAACCCAUCUUGCAUUUGCUGCUGCUAACCUUGGAAGGACCCAGAUGUUGCAAGAAUGUGUCAGGACUUCACAUCCAUCCUGAGCUGGACAUAGGGCCUUGGAAAAUGGAUGCUGGUUAUGCUGGUUGCAUGAAGGCCUCUUGGUGAUCCUGCUGUAUUAAAUAAUUGUUUCUAGCUGCCAAAGGUAGGAGCUGCUGCUACAUCCUCCUCUCUUGUCUGCCCCUCUAAACCAAGGAGCAGCCAAAGCUUGGCUCCCCUGGGGGCUCUGUUCCGUGCCUGGUGCAGGUGUCGCUUUGGAGGGAAAAAGAUGGAUGUGAACUGCAGGAAUGACAAAGCCACCUGUGCAGAGCUCUGUCCUUGCUGGAUUUGGUGGAUGUCUGCCAGCAGCCCAUCCGUAGAAAGAGUUUCCAGUAUGCUUAAACUAUUGCUGUGAGUACCAGUGUACUGCUCUGAGAACAGCUGCCUUUAGCCUGGUCACAGCAGUACGCUGCUGCAGAAGGGCACGGAUGCAUUUUCAGCUGACCUGAAUCCACGGAGAAGGAACCUUGCACCCUCCUGCUUGUGCUCAUCCUCUGAUACCAACAGAACUGGAGCAGGUGCCCCCAAGGCACCUGGAAAGCUGGCUUGCCUCGUCAGUGCUAGCCAGGUGGUUUUUCAGCCUCAUCUAGAAGGUUGGGGUGCAAGUAUUUGUACUUAAGAUGCGGGCCAGGGAAAGCUGCCAAGGCCCUCAGCACUCUGCUCUCCUCUGGGUUGCCAGGAUUAGGUUUUAGGUUCAAGACCCUGAAUAGCGAAGUCAUCCUAAGUACAGACCUUCUGAAGAGACCAUCUCCGGCUGGGAAACAGAGUCAACAGCAAAUCAGCAGCCCUGUAACUUUUGACAGUGACAGAAUUUAUCAAGCAAUUCAUAGUUUUUCAAGGCUGAAAAGGCCAUUACAAUAUCUAGUCUCAGCUAUGUUACAGAGCAGUCCUCCUUGUUCUCCUUAACAGUGCCUUGGUCUCUGUAGUGUGGCCUGUGCAUCCCUGCCAGGGCCUGACUGCAGGGAGAACUGCAGUGAUAGAGAAGGGCUGGGAAGAAUCUGUUUGCAUGCUUUGGGCUUGGUUUUCACUUAGGAGGUGUUAUGAAGGAGAUUUCACAACAAAAAUAACUCCACCCAAGCGUAGGCUCUGUUUUAUCCAUUUCCUCUUUGCUCACAUCUGUUCAUUAGCUGCUGUUUUCCACACGAUCGAUUUUCAGGGGGAGUGGCAUGCUUUGGCUGAUGCUGUACGUUCCUCCUGCAGAGCUGCUUCUCCUUCCCAGGCUUGCUGGUGGGACCCGUGCAGUGGGAUGUGGGGGUCCCUGUGCCCAAGACAGGAGGCUGCAGAGAUGGACAGCUGCUGUGCUGAAGCAGGAGGGAAAGGUCUCUGCUCCUGGCUCUGCUCUUGCAGGAGAAGAAGGUUCACCCUGUGAAGGCCUUUGUAAAGUGGGAGCUUCAGGGACAGCAGAGUGUUGAGGAGGGGUCCUGGGCGCUGCAGUGGCAUUGCUCCCAUCCUGCUUAUGAGCAGGACAGGGCAGUGCUCACCUCUGCCCCUUGGGCACUGAGUGCUGGGCUUCCUUGGCUCAUUUCUGCAGGGCUCAGCUCCUCUCCCAGAGCUACAGCCACCACAGAGCUUCGUCCUUGUGACAGUUCUGGGAAGGAUUUGAUUUGUUUUUGUACAAAUUAAAAGAGCAGCAGGACCCCCAAGGGAGCAUCCUUUGACUCCUGGACCCAGCUCUCCCCUGUUUUUAUUACAGGGGCCAGCUGCUCCCGCAGGUGUGUUCAGAAAGAUGAAACCUGAUCGCUCCCACGUAGGAAAUCUGCAGUCACAAAGUGCAGAGGCUUGCCAGAGCUUGGAGUAAACAGCACAGUAUGGAGCGCAGCCCAGGGCCCCGCUCCAUCAUCUCCAUGACUUCAGGGAAAAUAGGGCAGGGAGAGCUGGCCGCUGUCCCCGCCUCCCGCGGCCGAAGCCACGUGCCGUCCUCAGCCUGGCGCUGAUCUGAGGGGUCCUGGCGCAGAGAGGGACCCGGCCGAGGCCGCCACAGCGGCAGUGGAGACUGCGGUCUCUAUGGCAACCCGGCAACACGGCAGUGUUCGCGAGACUGCGGAGCGUGAUCACGCGCAUGUGUACUCGCAAAAGCAACGCGCCCUCCCGCGGAGGCUCGGCCGUUCCCAUUGGCUGGGCGUUACCGAGGGUGACGGCGCCGCCGCUGGUGAUUGGCUGCUCAGCGCGCAGGCGUGGGGCAACAUGGCGGCGCCGGUACGGCGGAGCGUGGUGUUCGUGACGGGCAACGCUAAGAAGCUGGAGGAGGUCACUCAGAUCCUUGGGGACUCCUCUCCGUACACGCUGGUGGCGAAGAAAAUUGACCUGCCCGAGUACCAGGGGGAGCCGGACGAGAUCUCCGUGCAGAAGUGCCGUGAAGCCGCCCGGCAGAUUCGGGGGCCUGUUAUAGUAGAGGACACCUGCUUGUGCUUCAAUGCCCUGGGGGGACUUCCAGGACCUUACAUUGUUGAGUGCCUGCUGUUGCAGCCAGCUUGGGAGCCCCAUACUGGGCACUGGGACGCCAGGUGUGGCAGGAGAGCUCUUAUAAAAUGGUUCCUGGAAAAGCUCAAGCCAGAAGGGGGUGAUUGUUGAGCCCAGAGGCCCUCGAGAUUUUGGCUGGGAUCCCUGCUUUCAGCCUGAUGGCUACGACCAGACCUACGCUGAGCUGCCCAAGGCUGUGAAGAACUCGAUCUCACACCGGUACCGUGCACUGAGCGAGCUCUCUGCCUUCUUCCUUCAGAGCAACCCAACAGAGGCCCACUCCAGUCCCAGCUAGCAUCCCCGUGCCUGCAGACACUGGAUGCUAUACUUUUCAUAUACAGUCCUGUGAGAUCUCUGUUGGGUCACAUGCUUAUAUUAAAGUUGCUCACGGUGAA
Molecule: RNA transcript, 3568 nt
Organism: Numida meleagris (helmeted guineafowl)
Lineage: Eukaryota; Metazoa; Chordata; Aves; Galliformes; Numididae
Gene: ITPA
Gene name: inosine triphosphatase
Exons: 10
Source: RefSeq, a predicted model, not a curated record